RNAcentral lists this ribosomal RNA (456 nucleotides) under uncultured bacterium. RNAcentral describes it as "partial 16S ribosomal RNA". It matches the Rfam family "Bacterial small subunit ribosomal RNA", at positions 28 to 523 of the family's 1533-position model. The record is from RNAcentral.
GAUGAACGCUGCGGCGUGCCUAAUACAUGCAAGUCGUACGGAAAGGCCCUUCGGGGUACUCGAGUGGUGGACGGCUGAGUAACGCGUGGGAACGUGCCCCAAAGUGAGGGAUAACGCACCGAAAGGUGUGCUAAUACCGCAUAUGGUCUUCGGAUUAAAGCUUCGGCGCUUUGGGAGCGGCUCGCGUACGAUUAGAUAGUUGGUGAGGUAAUGGCUCACCAAGUCGACGAUCGUUAGCUGGUCUGAGAGGAUGAUCAGCCAGACUGGGACUGAGACACGGCCCAGACUCCUACGGGAGGCAGCAGUAAGGAAUCUUCCACAAUGGGGGCAACCCUGAUGGAGCAACGCCGCGUGCAGGAUGAAGGUUUUCGGAUCGUAAACUGCUUUUAUAAGUGAAGAAUAUGACGGUAACUUAUGAAUAAGGAUCGGCUAACUACGUGCCAGCAGCCGCCGCGG